UACGGAGGAUGCAAGCGUUAUCCGGAAUGAUUGGGCGUAAAGCGUCCGCAGGUGGCAGUGUAAGUCUGCUGUUAAAGAGCAAAGCUUAACUUUGUAAAAGCAGUGGAAACUACACAGCUAGAGUAUGGUCGGGGCAGAGGGAAUUCCUGGUGUAGCGGUGAAAUGCGUAGAGAUCAGGAAGAACACCGGUGGCGAAGGCGCUCUGCUAGGCCAUAACUGACACUGAGGGACGAAAGCUAGGGGAG
RNAcentral lists this ribosomal RNA (245 nucleotides) under uncultured bacterium. Its description in RNAcentral is "partial 16S ribosomal RNA". It matches the Rfam family "Bacterial small subunit ribosomal RNA", at positions 524 to 768 of the family's 1533-position model. The record is from RNAcentral.